This 252-nucleotide ribosomal RNA is filed under the name uncultured bacterium. Its description in RNAcentral is "partial 16S ribosomal RNA". It matches the Rfam family "Bacterial small subunit ribosomal RNA", at positions 524 to 776 of the family's 1533-position model. The record is from RNAcentral.
UACGGAGGAUGCGAGCGUUAUCCGGAUUUAUUGGGUUUAAAGGGUGCGUAGGCGGACUGUCAAGUCAGCGGUAAAAUUGAGAGGCUCAACCUCUUCCCGCCGUUGAAACUGGUGGUCUUGAGUGGAUGAGAUGUACGCGGAAUGCGUGGUGUAGCGGUGAAAUGCAUAGAUAUCACGCAGAACUCCGAUUGCGAAGGCAGCGUACCGGCAUCCAACUGACGCUGAGGCACGAAAGCGUGGGGAUCAAACAGG